Molecule: ribosomal RNA, 557 nt
Filed under: Rhodosporidiobolus poonsookiae
Lineage: Eukaryota; Fungi; Basidiomycota; Microbotryomycetes; Sporidiobolales; Sporidiobolaceae
Description: partial large subunit ribosomal RNA
Rfam family: Eukaryotic large subunit ribosomal RNA
Source: RNAcentral
UAGCGGCGAGCGAAGCGGGAAGAGCUCAAAUUUGUAAUCUGGCGCUUUCGGCGUCCGAGUUGUAAUCUCUAGAAGUGUUUUCCGCGUUGGACCGCACACAAGUCUGUUGGAAUACAGCGGCACAGUGGUGAGACCCCCGUUCACGGUGCGGAUGCCCAAUGCUUUGUGAUACACUUUCGAAGAGUCGAGUUGUUUGGGAAUGCAGCUCAAAUUGGGUGGUAAAUUCCAUCUAAAGCUAAAUAUUGGCGAGAGACCGAUAGCGAACAAGUACCGUGAGGGAAAGAUGAAAAGCACUUUGGAAAGAGAGUUAACAGUACGUGAAAUUGUUGGAAGGGAAACGCUUGAAGUCAGACUUGCUAUUCGGGCAACCGAGUUGCAGGCCAGCAUCAGUUUUUCGGGGCGGAAAAUCACGGUUAGAAGGUAGCAGUUUCGGCUGUGUUAUAGCUUUCCGUUGGAUACGUCCUGGGGGACUGAGGAACGCAGCGUGCUUUUUGCAGGAGCUUCGGCUUCAUCACGCUUAGGAUGCUGGUGUAAUGGCUUUAAACGACCCGUCUUGA